RNAcentral lists this ribosomal RNA (254 nucleotides) under uncultured bacterium. Its description in RNAcentral is "partial 16S ribosomal RNA". It matches the Rfam family "Bacterial small subunit ribosomal RNA", at positions 524 to 776 of the family's 1533-position model. The record is from RNAcentral.
UACGGAGGGGGCUAGCGUUGUUCGGAAUUACUGGGCGUAAAGGGCGCGUAGGCGGCCUGUGCAAGUCAGUUGUGAAAUCUCCAAGCUUAACUUGGAACGGUCAGCUGAUACUGAUGUGCUAGAGUGCAGAAGGGGCAAUCGGAAUUCUUGGUGUAGCGGUGAAAUGCGUAGAUAUCAAGAGGAACACCUGAGGUGAAGACGGGUUGCUGGGCUGACACUGACGCUGAAGCGCGAGAGCUAGGGGAGCAAACAGG